Long non-coding RNA from Phyllostomus discolor (pale spear-nosed bat), 3644 nucleotides. RefSeq lists it as uncharacterized. NCBI's taxonomy places the organism in Eukaryota, Metazoa, Chordata, Mammalia, Chiroptera, Phyllostomidae. The transcript has 2 exons. The record is from RefSeq and is a predicted model, not a curated record.
ACUAUGUUAUUUGCUGAAACACAUUUGUGUUUAAACUUUUAAACAAUCCACUGAACAUUGAAGUAGGCAACCUGAAGUUUGCUUUGCCACAGAAGCAGUAAGUUAAAAAAUUACAUAAUCAUAAUAGUAAGGAAGGAUCUCAAAGCAAGAAAUAAGUUAUACAUGCAACUUAGAUAUGCUGAGGUUUUCAGGUGACUUACAGAAUUCCUCUAGAACUACAAUCCUUAUAGGCAGAUCCUAGUAUUAUGAUUGCUCUGAAAUGUACAUUCUGGACCUAUGCUGCAUUAGCUAGCCUCCAACUAUCACAGUUCCUAAAUUCCAAUGGAUAUAACUGAACAACAGUUUAUGAAAUGGUAGCAUAGCCUGUGUGAGAAUGCCUGUACAGGAAUUUGAAUAAAAUGCUUUUAGAUGGCCUCUAAAGUCAGUUAAAAAUCACCACAUGUUUUUAAUUACAAUGUCACUCAUACUUACAUCUAUUUAUCUGUCAUUGCCUCAAGUCUUGGUUUCUGCUGAUUAAAUCUGUCUUAGCAACUGUUUUAUAAUAAUAUUUCUAGAUAUGAAAUGGCCAUAGAUACUCUGCUUUCUGGUUAGCUUGUCUUAAUGAAUAACCACAUUUUCUUAUUUUCCCAUAAGAAAGGAACAUGGUACAUUAGAAAAAGUUAAGGCAGAAUGACCUCUUCCCACCUCUAUCCUGAACAAAUCUCUGAACAUUCUCUUUGUACAGCCUUAUAUACCUUCACUUUAAUUUUUUUUAAAUAAUGGCCAAUGUUGGUCACAUUUCUUACAAAGAUCUAAAACUUACUGCAAACUCAUUAAAGUCAACAGCAACAAAGAGGAAACAAGCUUUCAAAAUGUGGAAGCUUUAGCUAAUUUACACAAUCACUAAAAAUUAACACCAAAUGAUACUGAAAAUGAUGGAUGCAACCUCACCACCAAAUCUGUCAUUCCAAUACCAUAGGCACACCGUGCACAUGUGUAUUCACUAAAUAGGGAAACCCCGGGCCAAACUUUUAAAGAGAUCCUUUUUCAUAGCACUUUUCUUAAAAGGAAUUUUUUUACCAAGAAAAUUAUAAAUCAUAGUAUUUUAGAUCUCCCAGUAUCUGCCAUAUUAGGUCAAAAGUGGCCCAUAUUUUAAUGGCAACAGUUAAAUACAUUUUGGAAGAGUUAUUUCAAUGAAUACUUGAAGCCUGACAUGGGGACACAUAGCCCAAUUCUGGUAUACCGUUGGCAUUAAAAAAAACAUUGCUUUUUGUGUCAUAUUUGGACACAAGGCAUUUAGUAGGUAUAUACUGACUAUUUGCAAAUCCUCUUAAGAGGGGUUAGUCGUUGGUUGGAGGACAAACAGCUGGCUAGUCACUUGGCUCUACCAGGUUGUAGGGGACGCUUGUAUCUGUUGCCCUCAAAUGUCCAUGAAAUUCUGAAGCCUGACAGGCUGCUUCAAGAUAAAUCAGACUUUUAGUGAAUAAAUAAUAGGUCCUCUUUUCUUAUACAUUCCGAACUAUUUUGCUAAAUAGAUUUCAAAAGUUUUCCUCUAUAAGGUCUACUUGGCAGUGUUUUGUUCUAAGACAUAAAGCUGAAAUACCAAGACAUUUUUAAUAAUCAGAAUACAACCUAAAACCCCAGAAGUACGCCAUGGUUUACAACAAUCAAGCUCCCAGUCUACUCAUUAGAGAUGCUAAAUACUACAUCUUUGUUGAUAAAACCUAAACUCCUAAACCUUCCUAAAAGGCCUCCAAGGUUUUACCACCGACUUUUCCUCCUCCUCUGUAGAAUAAUGUAAGUUUCCCACCAGCAGCCAAUUUGCCCUAUUUUUGCUAUCAGAACUCCAGUUGUAUGUGCUUAUUUUAUCCCCAGGGGGUGAAUUAGGAUCAUUCUAACACAAUAAUCAUAAUGUUGUCUCCCUUCGUCACAUAGCCUUUUUCCACACCCCUAUGCAGCUAGAAAUGACUGUAUUUCCUAAUGGAAGAAACAAAUGUGGCUGGAACCUCCCCUUCCCUCUCUUUCUUACAUGGAUGUAACGUCUGGUGUUGUGACAUCCAUGUUAAAAACCAUGGGCCUUGCCCUGGUCAGGUGGUUCAAUUGGUUUGAGCACUGCCUCCCACACUAAACAGGUUGCAGGUUCAAUUUCUGGUCAGUGCAUCUACCUAAGUUGUGGGCUUCAGUGUGUAUACUGGAGGCGACCCAUCCAUGUCUCUCUCUCUCUCUCUCCCCCCCUGCCCCCUCCCCACCCCAUUCCUCUCUCUCUAAAAUCAAUAAAAAUAUAUAUUCAGGUGAAGGAAAAAAGUGGAUUUUAAGCAGCUGAGGGAAAGCCAGCAGCAAAUGAAGGAAGACAGAAUGGAAAGCUAAAAAGAGCCAACAUCCUUCACAGAAUUAUUCUAAGCACUGAUCACUGGCAAGAAGUAACUUAGGGCACUUUGACUCCUCUCCAUGCCCAUCCUCUUAUUCUAGAUGGUCAGAAGUAAUAAAAUAGCUUGCUCACCCCCUCUUGGUGGCCAUUUUGUGGAGUAGUGAAGAAUGCACAGGGUUCCAAAGACAGAGCUGGAUCCAAGUUUUACUUCUGCCAUUUACAAUCUAUGGCCUCAGCAAGUUACUAAUUUCUUUAUGCGAAGUACUCUACACAGUGCCCACGUAAAGGUGAGUGUAAUCAUAGUCAGUUACUAGUAUUAUUGUUGGUAGUCUCCUCAGACGAGAUGUGCUUUCCCUGAUCUGCUUCCUUCAGUCUUCUCUUCAUUAUACACUCUCAUUUAUUAUAAAUAAUGGCCUGUGAAACCGUAGAGCUUUGAGACUCCCAGGUAUUUCUGAAAAGGUCUCAGGAGUGCUAGCAACCUCUCCACCCCAGCACACCUCCUUCACCUUCAACAAAGCAGCAGAACACUCCAUUCCCCGGAGCUGGGGUGAAGCAUCCUAUUGGAGUAGAUGAGCAUUAGACCUAGCUGAGCAUCUUCAGUUGGAAGUAUAGGUGUCCAGAAGUGGAAAAGAAAAUAGAGAAAUGCCAAGUAAACACAGAGGUGGAGGUCAUAUGAAGGGGGUAAGUUAUCUCCGAAGUAAAGGAAUUAUACCCACAGAGCAGAAAAUCUAUGUGAGUCAAGACAAAGUCAGAGUCAGGGAAUGAAGACUAAUGGGAAAGCUCCCAAGCUGCUACCUGGGAUCAGAGACCCUUUUCAUGAGGUUCCAUGAGGUCUUCUGAAACUAGGUAGGUGUUGAAAGAAGCAAAUUUCCUCCAGAUUUCUGCAAACCAACAUAAGUCAAAGAAGGGCUAGAGCCUUACACAAAUGUUGCUUUCUUAGCUUCAGUUACAUUCCCUCCUCUACUAGUGAUAAGAACUUAAAAAACACUUCAGGAAUCAAAUAGUUGACAUUUCUUACUCUAUAGUAAAGGAAAAGACCCAGUCAAAUACACUAAGUAGCAAAGCCAGAAAUGAAUCCAAGUUUUAAUUCUGAGGUUGUUUUUUCUACUGUAUUGCAUUUUCUCAUGCUCUAAUUCAUCUUCUACCAUCUCUAAUCUAUUCAUUUCCCAGUCAAGCCAGAGACAAAUUCUUACCUAGUUAAACCAGUCUCAAAAUGGCCAAUUUCUCAGAACAGUUCUUUUCUGAGGCCCACUUGCUUUCUCAUUGAAGAGUCUUGGAUUCUUGAGAGAGAGAGAGA